Molecule: ribosomal RNA, 433 nt
Filed under: uncultured bacterium
Lineage: Bacteria
Description: partial 16S ribosomal RNA
Rfam family: Bacterial small subunit ribosomal RNA
Source: RNAcentral
AACGAACGCUGGCGGCAGGCCUAACACAUGCAAGUCGAGCGAGGACUUCGGUCCUAGCGGCGGACGGGUGAGUAACGCGUGGGAACGUGCCCUUUGCUUCGGAAUAGCCCUGGGAAACUGGGAGUAAUACCGGAUGAGCCCUUUGGGGGAAAGAUUUAUCGGCGAAGGAUCGGCCCGCGUUGGAUUAGGUAGUUGGUUGGGUAAUGGCCUACCAAGCCGACGAUCCAUAGCUGGUUUGAGAGGAUGAUCAGCCACACUGGGACUGAGACACGGCCCAGACUCCUACGGGAGGCAGCAGUGGGGAAUCUUAGACAAUGGGGGAAACCAUGAUCUAGCCAUGCCGCGUGAGCGAUGAAGGCCUUAGGGUUGUAAAGCUCUUUCAGCUGGGAAGAUAAUGACGGUACCAGCAGAAGAAGCCCCGGCUAACUCCGUG